Long non-coding RNA from Anopheles merus, 615 nucleotides. RefSeq lists it as uncharacterized. The transcript has 3 exons. The record is from RefSeq and is a predicted model, not a curated record. Lineage: Eukaryota; Metazoa; Arthropoda; Insecta; Diptera; Culicidae.
ACGAUCCAGUUACAAAGCAGCAAAAUGCGGCGCUCAAUGAACGACGGUAGUGCGGUAAAAUCAUGCAUAGCCUGUUACGCGGUAAGGUGCUUUUUGAAGCGUUUGUUUUAGAUUUCUGCUCUGAUUUUAUAGUUAGUAACAAAGAUCAACCUAAAUCUGGAUUAUAUUAAUGGUGGUAAAUUUUGGAUCGUCAAAUACGGUUAGUGUGGAGUAGGACAUGUCCGUCGCGGAGUCGUAGGUUGGUCGUAGGUUCAAGUAUAGAGUGGAUCGAGCCCCGUCCGGCUGCAAUGACUGAUUUAUCCAGCUGCGUCGUAUUGAAUUAGUCUCAAACGUUGUAAUAGGCUGGCAUGAUGGAGCAGGUCAUUACACCAAAUCGAUAUAGUUUUAAAAAUAAAAUGCGAUAAAAACUAAUAUGGUUGAGAUAAAUUUGAAAAGAAACCCUGAUUUGUGGGGAUGAUUUGCUUUAUUUAAGUUGUAUUAUAGAGCGCAAUAUAUGUAUACGUUGAACUUAAGUUUAGUAAAGAAAAUAUAACUAUUAGUCAAAUAUAUUGGAAAUACGCUUAAUCUGUGUUCUUUGCGUGUAUAAUACUAACCGUAAAAUUAUAUUUUGUUAAA